This 241-nucleotide ribosomal RNA is filed under the name uncultured Staphylococcus sp. RNAcentral describes it as "partial 16S ribosomal RNA". It matches the Rfam family "Bacterial small subunit ribosomal RNA", at positions 99 to 334 of the family's 1533-position model. Lineage: Bacteria; Bacillati; Bacillota; Bacilli; Caryophanales; Staphylococcaceae. The record is from RNAcentral.
CGGACGGGUGAGUAACACGUGGAUAACCUACCUAUAAGACUGGGAUAACUUCGGGAAACCGGAGCUAAUACCGGAUAAUAUUUUGAACCGCAUGGUUCAAAAGUGAAAGACGGUCUUGCUGUCACUUAUAGAUGGAUCCGCGCUGCAUUAGCUAGUUGGUAAGGUAACGGCUUACCAAGGCAACGAUGCAUAGCCGACCUGAGAGGGUGAUCGGCCACACUGGAACUGAGACACGGUCCAU